RNAcentral lists this ribosomal RNA (439 nucleotides) under uncultured bacterium. Its description in RNAcentral is "partial 16S ribosomal RNA". It matches the Rfam family "Bacterial small subunit ribosomal RNA", at positions 339 to 795 of the family's 1533-position model. The record is from RNAcentral.
CCACGGGUUGCUGCAGUGAGGAAUAUUGCACAAUGGAGGAAGCUCUGAUGCAGCAACGCCGCGUGGAGGAUGACGCAUUUCGGUGUGUAAACUCCUUUUAUAUGUCAAGAAAAUGACGGUAGCAUAUGAAUAAGCUCCGGCUAACUCCGUGCCAGCAGCCGCGGUAAUACGGAGGGAGCAAGCGUUACUCGGAAUCACUGGGCGUAAAGGACGCGUAGGCGGGAUAGAAAGUCAGGUGUGAAAUCCUAUGGCUCAACCAUAGAACUGCACUUGAAACUUCUAACCUAGAGUAUGGGAGGGGAAGAUGGAAUUAGUGGUGUAGGGGUAAAAUCCGUAGAUAUCACUAGGAAUACCAAAAGCGAAGGCGAUCUUCUGGAACAAUACUGACGCUAAGGCGUGAAAGCGUGGGGAGCAAACAGGAUUAGAUACCCCCGUAGUC